RNAcentral lists this ribosomal RNA (301 nucleotides) under uncultured bacterium. Its description in RNAcentral is "partial 16S ribosomal RNA". It matches the Rfam family "Bacterial small subunit ribosomal RNA", at positions 509 to 807 of the family's 1533-position model. The record is from RNAcentral.
CAGCCGCCGCGGUAAGACAGAGGUCCCGAGCGUUGUUCGGAUUCAUUGGGCGUAAAGGGUGUGUAGGAGGCCAGGUAAGUCAGGUGUGAAAUCUCAGAGCUUAACUCUGAAACUGCGCUUGAUACUGCUUGGCUAGAGGAUCGGAGGGGGUAACGGAAUUUAUGGUGUAGCAGUGAAAUGCGUAGAUAUCAUAAGGAACACCGGUGGCGAAGGCGGUUACCUGGAAGAUUCCUGACUCUGAAACACGAAAGCCAGGGGAGCAAACGGGAUUAGAUACCCCAGUAGUCCCUGUCUCUUAUAC